GCGUUUCUCAUCUCCCGUGAGUGCGUCUGCCCUCCGUAGUAGCUGAAUAUUGUCCCCCUCAAAUUCAUAUUGCCUGGAGCUUCAAAGGUGAUCUCAUUCGGAAACAGGUCUUUGUUGAUCUCAUAAUGGUAAGGAUGGGGACGAGGCCAUCCUGGAUUUGAGGGGCCUCAAGUCCAGUGAGAGUGUCCUUGUAAGAGACAGAAAGGACAGACACCCGGAUGGGGGCGGGCAUACGAAAGCGGAGGAGGUCGCGAGUGGUCAAGAAACACCAGGGAUUCGGGGCCGCCAGACGCAGGAAGGGGCAGGGAAGGGCCCUCCCCCAGAGCCUCCAGAGGGAGUGUGGGAUUUUGUUCUUCUGCCCUCCAGGCCUCUAAGUUUUUGUCAGGCCCCGGGGUUUUGGUUUCUAGAUCAAUACGCCUCCCCACGCCACACUCCUCCAGCCCUCCCGUGAGCCACCAGCCCAGGAAGCCUGUGGUCAUGGUCAGGCCACGGAACUACGGAACAGCCUCCUGCUGCCCAGGAAGGUCCAAGGUCCUGGAUCUGAGAUUACAGGUGCUCUGGAGUAGUGAAGGCGUCAGCAGCUGCGUCCAGG
This 592-nucleotide long non-coding RNA is filed under the name Homo sapiens (human). RNAcentral describes it as "non-protein coding lnc-PCGF3-1:2". Lineage: Eukaryota; Metazoa; Chordata; Mammalia; Primates; Hominidae. The record is from RNAcentral.